Molecule: ribosomal RNA, 480 nt
Filed under: Stenotrophomonas maltophilia
Lineage: Bacteria; Pseudomonadati; Pseudomonadota; Gammaproteobacteria; Lysobacterales; Lysobacteraceae
Description: bacterial SSU rRNA
Rfam family: Bacterial small subunit ribosomal RNA
Source: RNAcentral
GGCCUAACACAUGCAAGUCGAACGGCAGCACAGUAAGAGCUUGCUCUUAUGGGUGGCGAGUGGCGGACGGGUGAGGAAUACAUCGGAAUCUACUUUUUCGUGGGGGAUAACGUAGGGAAACUUACGCUAAUACCGCAUACGACCUACGGGUGAAAGCAGGGGAUCUUCGGACCUUGCGCGAUUGAAUGAGCCGAUGUCGGAUUAGCUAGUUGGCGGGGUAAAGGCCCACCAAGGCGACGAUCCGUAGCUGGUCUGAGAGGAUGAUCAGCCACACUGGAACUGAGACACGGUCCAGACUCCUACGGGAGGCAGCAGUGGGGAAUAUUGGACAAUGGGCGCAAGCCUGAUCCAGCCAUACCGCGUGGGUGAAGAAGGCCUUCGGGUUGUAAAGCCCUUUUGUUGGGAAAGAAAUCCAGCCGGCUAAUACCUGGUUGGGAUGACGGUACCCAAAGAAUAAGCACCGGCUAACUUCGUGCCAGC